AGAGUUUGAUCAUGGCUCAGGAUAAACGCUGGCGGCGUGCCUAACACAUGCAAGUCGAACGCUCACAGCAAUGUGAGAGUGGCGGACGGGUGAGGAACACGUGGGUAUCUGCCCAGAGGUGAGGAAUACCGGCGAGAAAUCGCCGACAAUACCGCAUAGGAUCAGCAAUGAUCAAAGUCGCAAGACGCCUUUGGAUGAGCCUGCGUCCGAUUAGCUCGAUGGUGGGGUAAAGGCCUACCAUGGCAACGAUCGGUAGCUGGUCUGAGAGGACGAUCAGCCACACUGGGAUUGAGAACGGCCCAGACUCCUACGGGGGGCAGCAGUGAGGAAUUUUCGUCAAUGGGCGCAAGCCUGAACGAGCAACGCCGCGUGCAGGACGACGGCCUUCGGGUUGUAAACUGCUUUUCUCUGGGAAGAGAACGGACGGUACCAGAGGAAGAAGCCCCGGCUAACUACGUGCCAGCAGCCGCGGUAAUACGUAGGGGGCAAGCGUUGUCCGGAGUUACUGGGCGUAAAGGGCGUGCAGGCGGUGCUCUAAGUUCGGAGUGACAGUUCCCGGCUUAACUGGGAAAGGCCUACCGAAAACUGAAGCACUUGAGGGCCAGAGAGGGACAUAGAAUUCCGGGUGGAGUGGUGAAAUGCGUAGAUAUCCGGAGGAAUACCAAAGGCGAAGGCAGUGUCCUGGCUGGCAUCUGACGCUGAGGCGCGAAAGCUAGGGGAGCGAACAGGAUUAGAUACCCUAGUAGUCC
This 749-nucleotide ribosomal RNA is filed under the name uncultured bacterium. Its description in RNAcentral is "bacterial SSU rRNA". It matches the Rfam family "Bacterial small subunit ribosomal RNA", at positions 8 to 796 of the family's 1533-position model. The record is from RNAcentral.